This 580-nucleotide long non-coding RNA is filed under the name Elaeis guineensis (African oil palm). RNAcentral describes it as "long non-coding RNA (EGUI_LNC078609)". The record is from RNAcentral. Lineage: Eukaryota; Viridiplantae; Streptophyta; Magnoliopsida; Arecales; Arecaceae.
CCUUCUAAAUGUUGUUGGGAUGGUUAAUUAUUUGGGUUCGGAUGUAUCAUUGAACACAUUACAUGGCCAUAUCUAACAAAAUAAUAAAUACUUUUCCGUUUCAAUCGCAUGAUUGAACAAGAUUGCCAGCGCAUUCCAUGCCUGACUCGGCGAUUUCGCGUCUUUGAUAUGACCGAUCAUCUCCUUCGUUACGGUCAUCUUUAGGACGUAUAAGGCUCUCUCCGCCUUCUGGUUCCACACUGGUCUCAAAUCUGACUGUCUGGGUGAGACUGUUUAUGUGCCACCCGUGACUUUCCAAAAAUCAUGCACCUUCAAAUACGACGUUGUGCAUGUCGACCAAUAUGAAUACUUGGUCGAGUUCAGCUUUUCGCCAACCAGGUUAGAGAUUGACACAUCUGCCAUGGCUCUCAACCGGCUACUAAGCACUCUUGGAAAGAACAAGACUCGUUUUUCGACAGUCCUUCAUACUUUCGUUCUGACUAAAAGCCUAAAUGGUCUUUGAAUAUUAGUUGUUAGACUGCAACAAAAUCACCGAUAUUAGAUAACAAUCAAUAUAUGGUUAUAAUAUGUAUGUAAUGGA